AGGGACCAGGACGAUGGCUGGCCAAAUACAGCUGGUGAUGGAGCCGAGGCCCGUCGUUUCAGCAGAAGUUGUAGAGCAUGUUGGCCAGUCCGCAGUGAUAAUCUCAUCACAGCAGCAGGUCGAUCUUCAGGGCAGUGUAGCAUGUGUAUGAAUUGUGGUUUAGGUCACA
Oryza rufipogon (brownbeard rice) is the source of this 169-nucleotide small nucleolar RNA. It matches the Rfam family "Small nucleolar RNA Z242". Rfam says of the family: Z242 is a member of the C/D class of snoRNA which contain the C (UGAUGA) and D (CUGA) box motifs. Most of the members of the box C/D family function in directing site-specific 2'-O-methylation of substrate RNAs. The record is from Rfam. Lineage: Eukaryota; Viridiplantae; Streptophyta; Magnoliopsida; Poales; Poaceae.